This 24-nucleotide microRNA is filed under the name Haemonchus contortus (barber pole worm). RNAcentral's name for it is "hco-miR-5957". The record is from miRBase by way of RNAcentral. Lineage: Eukaryota; Metazoa; Nematoda; Chromadorea; Rhabditida; Trichostrongylidae.
GGUCAGGGCGAUACUUCAAGCAGG